Molecule: transfer RNA, 77 nt
Filed under: Nitrospinota bacterium
Lineage: Bacteria; Pseudomonadati; Nitrospinota
Also listed under: 1 other name
Description: tRNA-Arg
Rfam family: tRNA
About the family: Transfer RNA (tRNA) molecules are approximately 80 nucleotides in length. Their secondary structure includes four short double-helical elements and three loops (D, anti-codon, and T loops).
Source: RNAcentral
GCGCCCGUAGCUCAGCUGGAUAGAGUGCCGGAUUCCGGUUCCGUAGGUCGGAGGUUCGAAUCCUCUCGGGCGUGCCA